Molecule: ribosomal RNA, 492 nt
Filed under: uncultured bacterium
Lineage: Bacteria
Description: partial 16S ribosomal RNA
Rfam family: Bacterial small subunit ribosomal RNA
Source: RNAcentral
AGUGAACGCUGGCGGUAGGCCUAACACAUGCAAGUCGAACGGCAGCACAGUAAGAGCUUGCUCUUACGGGUGGCGAGUGGCGGACGGGUGAGGAAUACAUCGGAAUCUACUUUUUCGUGGGGGAUAACGUAGGGAAACUUACGCUAAUACCGCAUACGACCUACGGGUGAAAGCAGGGGAUCUUCGGACCUUGCGCGAUUGAAUGAGCCGAUGUCGGAUUAGCUAGUUGGCGGGGUAAAGGCCCACCAAGGCGACGAUCCGUAGCUGGUCUGAGAGGAUGAUCAGACACACGGGAAGUGAGAAACGGCCCAGACUCCUACGGGAGGCAGCAGUGGGGAAUAUUGGACAAUGGGGGCAAGCCUGAUCCAGCAAUACCGCGUGAGUGAAGAAGGCGUUCGGGUUGUAAAGCCAUUUUGUUGGGAGAGAAAAGCAGCAGGUUAAUACCCCGCUGUUCUGACGGUACCCAAAGAAUAAGCACCGGCUAACUUCGUG